This 555-nucleotide ribosomal RNA is filed under the name uncultured fungus. RNAcentral's name for it is "SSU rRNA". It matches the Rfam family "Eukaryotic small subunit ribosomal RNA", at positions 194 to 744 of the family's 1831-position model. The record is from RNAcentral. Lineage: Eukaryota; Fungi.
GGAAGGGGUGUAUUUAUUAGAUUGGGGAACCAAUGCCCUUCGGGGCUCUCUGGUGAUUCAUAAUAACUUCACGGAUCGCACGGCCUUGCGCCGGCGAUGGUUCAUUCAAAUUUCUUCCCUAUCAACUUUCGAUGUUUGGGUCUUGGCCAAACAUGGUUUCAACGGGUAACGGAGGGUUAGGGCUCGACCCCGGAGAAGGAGCCUGAGAAACGGCUACUACAUCCAAGGAAGGCAGACAGGCGCGCAAAUUACCCAAUCCCGAUUCGGGGAGGUAGUGACAAUAAAUACUGAUACAGGGCUCUUUUGGGUCCUGUAAUUAGGAAUGAGUACAAUUUAAAUCCCUUAACGAGGAACAAUUGGAGGGCAAGUCUGGUGCCAGCAGACCGACGGUAAUUCCAGCUCCAAUAGCGUAUAUUAAAGUUGUUGUGGUUAAAAAGCUCGUAGUUGAACCUUGGGACCUGGCUGGCCGGUCCGCUCAACCGCGUGUACAUGGUCCGGCGGGUCUUUACCUCUGUGGAACGCCAUGCCCUUCACUGGGUGUGGUCGGGAAACAAG